Molecule: long non-coding RNA, 394 nt
Filed under: Pongo abelii (Sumatran orangutan)
Lineage: Eukaryota; Metazoa; Chordata; Mammalia; Primates; Hominidae
Description: lincRNA
Source: RNAcentral
CUCUCUUUCUUUUACUCUGGGGAUGUGAAGAUGUGUCUGCUUCCCCUCUGCCUUUCACCAUGAUUGUAAAUUUCCUGUGCAGCCUGCUUCCUGUACAGCCAGGCUUCGCAUAUGGCCUGCAGAACCGAGGGGGAUGAAGAGCACUUUCAGAACCUCGAGCAAGGUAGAGCUUGGAGCUGCAAGGAGCCUGAUUCCUCAGUCACUGCAUGGAGCAGAAAGCCUCCUCCCUACCUGUGCUUUAUUGUGUAAGAAGCAUGCUGUGAUAUUGAGUCAAUUGAUUGCCCAAUCACAGACAUCUUUCACCGACAGAGUAACAGGUGUGUGGGCUUUGAGCAGUCACUACACCUUCCCUCUUCAGGCAGGAUGAGAGGAUUCCUGCAGCGUUUUGCAAGAG